Long non-coding RNA from Lagopus muta (rock ptarmigan), 3657 nucleotides. RefSeq lists it as uncharacterized. The transcript has 6 exons. The record is from RefSeq and is a predicted model, not a curated record. NCBI's taxonomy places the organism in Eukaryota, Metazoa, Chordata, Aves, Galliformes, Phasianidae.
UUAUAAAGGCUUUUUUUGGACUUCUUUUGCGGCUUGCAUCAGCACUGUGCUUGAGCUGGGAGCUGCCAGCUUGCGGACGGGCUUCUGAGUCACCGGGGAGGUGCUGGCACACUGGCGGCACGGUGUAAACACUCUAUGGAAGUGUUACCGGUCAUUGGCUGCAGACACUUGCUUGUGAGCAGUCCUGGGUACCUGCCCUGAAGAAAGGAAGAACUACAUUCCCCAGCGGACUUUGCGGUCAGGGAGAGGAGGUUUAACUCCUGGCAAGGCCAUCUGAUUUCUCUUUCUUGCCUGCCUUUUGUCGUGGACACUGCUCCUGUCUCCCUGCUGCUCAACUGGACCGCGCAUCUCACCUCAGUGCUGUGAUCUGCGGAUCCCUCCGCCCCUCCCGUCACGGAACCGGGCCGAACUAGCCCGUAAACCGGUGACAAGCUGGGAGCUGCCAGCUUGCGGACGGGCUUCUGAGUCACCAGGAACGUGCUGGCACAUUGGCAGCACGGUUUAAACACCCUAUGGAAGUGCUGUCGGUCACUUGCUGCGGAGUCCUGCUUCUGAGCAGGACUUCUUUUGAGGCUAGCAUGAGCACUGCGCUUGAGCUGGGAGCUGCCAGCUUGCGGACGGGCUUCUGAGUCUCCAGGGAGGUGCUGGCACAUUGGCAGCUCGGUUUAAAUAACCUGUGGAAGUGUUAUUGGUCAUUUGCUGCAGAGUCUUGCUUCUGAGCAGGUAAGUCUGUGCGGGCCAAGGAUCUGGAGUGAGAAAAGGCUAACCAAAAAGCUCUUUUUAAGGCUUUUCUUAUGACAGGGUUGAGGCUAGCAUGAGCACUGCACUUGAGCUGGGAGCUGGCAGCUUGUGGGUGGGCUCCAGAGUCACCAGUGGAGGAGCUGGCACACUGGCGGCACGGUUUAAACACCCUAAGGAAGUGCUGUUGGUCACUUGCUGCGGAGUCCUGCUUCUGAGCGGGACCUCUUUUGAUGCAAGCAUCACCACUGUGCUUGAGCUGGGAGCUGCCAGCUUGCGGAUGGGCUUCUGAGUCACCAGGGAGGUGCUGGCACAUUGGCAGCACGGUUUAAACACGCUAUGGAAGUGUUAUCGGUCCUUUGCUGCUGAGACUUGCUUCUGAGCAGGCUUCUUCUGGGGACACCGGCUGCCCAUGGACCGAACAGUUCUUUGGGUAAGGAACUGGCCACAAGGCCGUGCUCAGUGGGUCGUGGUGAAUGGAGUGAAGUCCAGCUGGUGACCCAUUUCAAGUGGUGUCCCCCAGGGGUAGGUACUGGGGCUGUUUAAUAUCUUCACUGAUGACCUAGAUGAGGGGAUUGAGCGCACCCUCAGCAAGUUUGCAGAUGACACGAAGCUGGAAGGUGGUGUGAUCUGCCUUAGGGUAGGGCUGCCCUUCAGAGGGAUUUAGACAGCCUGGACCGCUGGGCUGAGGUGAAUGGGCUGAGUUGAAACACUUCUGUCUCUUUUUCUUCAUUUUCUUUUAUGUAAUAAAAAAGAAAUCACCCUUGAUUCUAUCUACAAGAAACAAUGUAGUAAAGAAAAGAAGAUAGUCCAUGCUCAAAAUGAAAGUAUAAAAAGGAUACCACUACUGAGUGGAUAUAUCAGUUCGAAGAAGUGAAAACGAUGGAAUAACUAAUGUAACAGAGUUUUUCAGUUACCACAAAUGAUUGCCUAGCAGGGUGAGUUCUAAAACAUGUUUACAUGAUCUGGGAAGUUGUUUGCAUUAAAAAAAGUGUUGUAAAUAAAGUACAAGUGUAAUUGCUGAAUCCAUUGUAAUACAGCAGAGUUGGAUUGUUAAAAAUCACAAGAUGCUAAGAAAAGGCAAUGUAUAUUUUUUUUGUGUGAGAAAUAAAGUAAAAACAGUAUAAUUAUUUUUAAACUUUGCAGUAAGGCAACAGAUGUUGACACCACUGAGGAAAGCUGUAAGUAUAAACAACGGUGGGUAAAGCUAAUGGUGGAUGAAAUUGCGCAGCACGUGCGCAGUGUCCAGGGGACCAGGCCCAGCCAGCACGGGUUUGUGAAAGGCAGGUAAUGCUUGACCAACCUCCUCUCGUUCUAUGAGUGGGUGACUAGUCUGGUAGAUGAGGGAAGGGCUGUUGACGUAGUAUUACUAGACUUCAACAAAACUUUUGACGUGGUCCCUCACAGGCUUCUUCUGGGGACACCGGCUGCCCAUGGACCGAACAGUUCUUUGGGUAAGGAACUGGCCACAAGGCCGUGCUCAGUGGGUCGUGGUGAAUGGAGUGAAGUCCAGCUGGUGACCCAUUUCAAGUGGUGUCCCCCAGGGGUAGGUACUGGGGCUGUUUAAUAUCUUCACUGAUGACCUAGAUGAGGGGAUUGAGCGCACCCUCAGCAAGUUUGCAGAUGACACGAAGCUGGAAGGUGGUGUGAUCUGCCUUAGGGUAGGGCUGCCCUUCAGAGGGAUUUAGACAGCCUGGACCGCUGGGCUGAGGUGAAUGGGAUGAGGUUUUACAAGGCCGAGUGUGGGGUCCUGCUCUUUGGGCGCAGCAAUCCCAUGCAGUGUUAUAGGCUUGGGGACGAGUGUGAAGAAGAGAAGGACCUGGGGGUAUUGGUUGAUGCUCAGCUGAACAUGAGCCAACAGUGUGCGCAGGUGGCCAAGAGGGCCAACAGCAUCCUGGCCUGCAUUAGAAUUAGCGUGGCCGGCAGGAGCAGGGAGGUGAUCAUCCCCCUCUACUCAGCACUGGUGAGGCCGCACCUCAAGUACUGUGUUCAGUUUUAGGCUCCUCACUGCAGGAAAGAUGUUCACAUCCUGGAGCGUGUCCAGAGAAUAGCAAUAAAACCGGAGAGGGGUCUGGAGCACAAGUCUUAUGAGGAGCGGCCGAUGGAGCUGGGAUUGUUCAGUGUGGAGAAGAGGAGGCUCAGGGGAGACCUCAUUGCACUCUACAACUUCCUGAAGGGAGGUUGUAGUGAAGAGGGGUUUGGCCUCUUCUCCCAGGCAACAAGCAGGACACGGGGUAAUGGCCGCAAGUUGUACCAGAGGAGGUUUAGAUUAGACGCAAGAAAGAACUUGUUUUUUCAGAGUGGUCAGGCACUGGAAUGGCCUGCCCAGGGAGGUGGUGCAGUCGCUGUCCCUGGCAGUGUUCAACACGCGUCUGGAUGACGUGCUGCAUGAUAGGGUUUAGUGCUUGUGGUGGCAAUGGUGAUGAGGAGACGAUUGGACUGGAUGAUCUUGUAGGUAGUUUGCAACCUUGGGAUUCUAUGAUUCUAUAAACAUUGUAACAAUAUUCUUAAGGCUGCCCUGAAGACAGACUCCCAGUCCCUGCAGGGGUGGACGAAAAGAUUCUAUGAAACCCUGCGGGACCUGAAUGAAAGACCUCAAGAUGGCAGACCCAGUGCCCGGAGAAUGUUGCGGACAACAUGGGCCACCCCGCUUAGGAUCCCAAUUACAGGCACGGAUCAUCAGGUAAGAGCCCAAAUGGGUAACGAAAAUAAUAUUCUGUUCCCUGCCCCUGAGAAUUUAGAUCCGGGUGCCCAUAAAAUAAAAUGGCCCCAGAAGGUGCUGGUAAAACCCAAGCGGUAUGGCCUACUUGCACCUCGGGAGAGACUAUUGGAGGAGGGAGGCUAAGUAGUCCCUCCAGUAAUAGGUACAUGGCCUACUGAUAUUGUGGUCAACUCUCCGAUCUUUAUUGCUAAAGGGAC